This 63-nucleotide transfer RNA is filed under the name Pyrhila pisum. Its description in RNAcentral is "tRNA-Pro". The record is from RNAcentral. Lineage: Eukaryota; Metazoa; Arthropoda; Malacostraca; Decapoda; Leucosiidae.
AGAGAAUAGUUUAAUAAAAAUAUUAAUUUUGGGGAUUAAAGAUAAAGUUAAUUUUUCUCUGAU